AACCUGAAUAAUCUCACGGUGAUUAGCUGUUCAGCAAGCGGUGAUUAGCUGUUCAAACCGGUUUGCCACGCUGAGGUUUCUAAUCAUUGAAAAAAAUCCAAGCGCCAUUGAAGUCAAAUUGUCUUCUUGGAGGCUGCGAUCCUCGCCAUAGAGAGCCUUCUUACAGUGUAAAUGCUGUUCAACCCGUCGAGCAGAAGAUCCAGACCGCAAAUCUAACAAGGCCGUAAAGCCAUAUCAGUCUCCACCAUUUGUCAAGGAAUUUGUAUCUA
This is a long non-coding RNA of Brassica oleracea var. oleracea, 269 nucleotides long. RefSeq lists it as uncharacterized. The transcript is spliced from 3 exons. Lineage: Eukaryota; Viridiplantae; Streptophyta; Magnoliopsida; Brassicales; Brassicaceae. The record is from RefSeq and is a predicted model, not a curated record.